GGGUUGUGAGGUUAAGUGACUAAGCGUACACGGUGGAUGCCUAGGCAGUCAGAGGCGAUGAAGGGCGUGCUAAUCUGCGAAAAGCGUCGGUAAGGUGAUAUGAACCGUUAUAACCGGCGAUACCCGAAUGGGGAAACCCAGUGUGUUUCGACACACUAUCAUGUCAUGAAUACAUAGUGGCAUGAGGCGAACCGGGGGAACUGAAACAUCUAAGUACCCCGAGGAAAAGAAAUCAACCGAGAUUCCCCCAGUAGCGGCGAGCGAACGGGAGGAGCCCAGAACCUGAAUCGGCUUGUGUGUUAGUGGAAGCGUCUGGAAAGUCGCGCAGUAAAGGGUGAUAGCCCCGUACACUAAAAUGCACAGGUCGUGAGUUCGAUGAGUAGGGCGGGACACGUGACAUCCUGUCUGAAUAUGGGGGGACCAUCCUCCAAGGCUAAAUACUCCUGACUGACCGAUAGUGAACCAGUACCGUGAGGGAAAGGCGAAAAGAACCCCGGCGAGGGGAGUGAAAUAGAACCUGAAACCGUGUACGUACAAGCAGUGGGAGCACCUUCGUGGUGUGACUGCGUACCUUUUGUAUAAUGGGUCAGCGACUUAUAUUUUGUAGCAAGGUUAACCGUAUAGGGGAGCCGUAGGGAAACCGAGUCUUAACUGGGCGAUUAGUUGCAAGGUAUAGACCCGAAACCCGGUGAUCUAGCCAUGGGCAGGUUGAAGGUUGGGUAACACUAACUGGAGGACCGAACCGACUAAUGUUGAAAAAUUAGCGGAUGACUUGUGGCUGGGGGUGAAAGGCCAAUCAAACCGGGAGAUAGCUGGUUCUCCCCGAAAGCUAUUUAGGUAGCGCCUCGUGAACUCAUCUUCGGGGGUAGAGCACUGUUUCGGCUAGGGGGCCAUCCCGGCUUACCAAACCGAUGCAAACUCCGAAUACCGAAGAAUGUUAUCACGGGAGACACACGGCGGGUGCUAACGUCCGUCGUGAAGAGGGAAACAACCCAGACCGCCAGCUAAGGUCCCAAAGUCAUGGUUAAGUGGGAAACGAUGUGGGAAGGCAUAGACAGCCAGGAUGUUGGCUUAGAAGCAGCCAUCAUUUAAAGAAAGCGUAAUAGCUCACUGGUCGAGUCGGCCUGCGCGGAAGAUGUAACGGGGCUAAACCAUGCACCGAAGCUGCGGCAGCGACGCUUAGGCGUUGUUGGGUAGGGGAGCGUUCUGUAAGCCGUUGAAGGUGGCCUGUGAGGGUUGCUGGAGGUAUCAGAAGUGCGAAUGCUGACAUAAGUAACGAUAAAGCGGGUGAAAAGCCCGCUCGCCGGAAGACCAAGGGUUCCUGUCCAACGUUAAUCGGGGCAGGGUAAGUCGACCCCUAAGGCGAGGCUGAAAAGCGUAGUCGAUGGGAAACAGGUUAAUAUUCCUGUACUUGGUGUUACUGCGAAGGGGGGACGGAGAAGGCUAGGCUGGCCGGGCGACGGUUGUCCCGGUUUAAGCGUGUAGGGGGUGUGACCUGGUAAAUCCGGUUGCAUAUCAACCCUGAGGCGUGAUGACGAUGCACUACGGUGCAGAAGUAGUUGAUGCCCUGCUUCCAGGAAAAUCCUCUAAGCUCCAGGUAACAUUGAAUCGUACCCCAAACCGACACAGGUGGUCAGGUAGAGAAUACCAAGGCGCUUGAGAGAACUCGGGUGAAGGAACUAGGCAAAAUGGUGCCGUAACUUCGGGAGAAGGCACGCUGGCAUGUAGGUGAAGUCCCUCGCGGAUGGAGCUGAAGCCAGUCGAAGAUACCAGCUGGCUGCAACUGUUUAAUAAAAACACAGCACUGUGCAAACACGAAAGUGGACGUAUACGGUGUGACGCCUGCCCGGUGCUGGAAGGUUAAUUGAUGGGGUCAGCCGCAAGGCGAAGCUCUUGAUCGAAGCCCCAGUAAACGGCGGCCGUAACUAUAACGGUCCUAAGGUAGCGAAAUUCCUUGUCGGGUAAGUUCCGACCUGCACGAAUGGCGUAAUGAUGGCCAGGCUGUCUCCACCCGAGACUCAGUGAAAUUGAACUCGCUGUGAAGAUGCAGUGUACCCGCGGCAAGACGGAAAGACCCCGUGAACCUUUACUAUAGCUUGACACUGAACAUUGAGCCUUGAUGUGUAGGAUAGGUGGGAGGCUUUGAAGCGUGGACGCCAGUCUGCGUGGAGCCAUCCUUGAAAUACCACCCUUUAAUGUUUGAUGUUCUAACUCGGCCCCGUGAUCCGGGGUGAGGACAGUGUCUGGUGGGUAGUUUGACUGGGGCGGUCUCCUCCCAAAGAGUAACGGAGGAGCACGAAGGUUAGCUAAUCACGGUCGGACAUCGUGAGGUUAGUGCAAAGGCAUAAGCUAGCUUGACUGCGAGAGUGACGGCUCGAGCAGGUACGAAAGUAGGUCUUAGUGAUCCGGUGGUUCUGAAUGGAAGGGCCAUCGCUCAACGGAUAAAAGGUACUCCGGGGAUAACAGGCUGAUACCGCCCAAGAGUUCAUAUCGACGGCGGUGUUUGGCACCUCGAUGUCGGCUCAUCACAUCCUGGGGCUGAAGUAGGUCCCAAGGGUAUGGCUGUUCGCCAUUUAAAGUGGUACGCGAGCUGGGUUUAGAACGUCGUGAGACAGUUCGGUCCCUAUCUGCCGUGGGCGUUGGAAGAUUGAGAGGGGUUGCUCCUAGUACGAGAGGACCGGAGUGAACGCACCACUGGUGUUCGGGUUGUCAUGCCAAUGGCAUUGCCCGGUAGCUAAGUGCGGAAAAGAUAAGCGCUGAAAGCAUCUAAGCGCGAAACUUGCCUCAAGAUGAGUCUUCCCUGGGACUUUAAGUCCCCUGAAGGAACGUUUAAGACUAAGACGUUGAUAGGCUGGGUGUGUAAGUGCAGCGAUGCAUUGAGCUAACCAGUACUAAUGAUCCGUGAGGCUUAACCUUACAACACCGAAGGUGUUUUAG
RNAcentral lists this ribosomal RNA (2937 nucleotides) under Serratia marcescens. RNAcentral describes it as "bacterial LSU rRNA". It matches the Rfam family "Bacterial large subunit ribosomal RNA". Lineage: Bacteria; Pseudomonadati; Pseudomonadota; Gammaproteobacteria; Enterobacterales; Yersiniaceae. The record is from RNAcentral.